RNAcentral lists this ribosomal RNA (305 nucleotides) under uncultured bacterium. RNAcentral describes it as "bacterial SSU rRNA". It matches the Rfam family "Bacterial small subunit ribosomal RNA", at positions 338 to 635 of the family's 1533-position model. The record is from RNAcentral.
CCUACGGGACGCAGCAGUGGGGAAUAUUGCGCAACGGGCGAAAGCCUGCCGCAGCGACGCCGCGUGAGGGAUGGAGGUCUUCGGAUCGUAAACCUCCGUCAGCAGGGAAGAACGGUCACUGUGCUAAUCAGCAGUGAAUUGACGGUACCUGCAAAGGAAGCACCGGCUAACUCCGUGCCAGCAGCCGCGUUAAUACGGAGGGUGCGAGCGUUAAGCGGAAUUACUGGGCGUAAAGCGCUCGUAGGCGGUAUGUCAAGUCAAGGGUGAUAUCCCCGCGCUCAACGUGUGAACUGCCUUUGACACUG